Molecule: long non-coding RNA, 302 nt
Organism: Oncorhynchus keta (chum salmon)
Lineage: Eukaryota; Metazoa; Chordata; Actinopteri; Salmoniformes; Salmonidae
Exons: 3
Source: RefSeq, a predicted model, not a curated record
UCUGUAGGGCUGUAGGUGAGCUGGGGCUGGUGCUGGGGCUCUGUAGGGCUGUAGGUGAGCUGGGGCUCUGUAUGGCUGUAGGUGAGCUGGGGCUCUGUAGGGCUGUAGGUGAGCUGGGGCUGGUGCUGGGGCUCUGUAGGGCUGUAGGUGAGCUGGGGCUCUGUAUGGCUGUAGGUGAGCUGGGGCUCUGUAGGGCUGUAGGUGAGCUGGGGCUGGUGCUGGGGCUCUGUAGGGCUGUAGGUGAGCUGGGGCUCUGUAUGGCUGUAGGUGAGCUGGGGCUCUGUAGGGCUGUAGGUCAGCUG